CCUACGGGUGGCAGCAGUGGGGAAUAUUGCACAAUGGGGGAAACCCUGAUGCAGCGACGCCGCGUGAGUGAAGAAGUAUCUCGGUACGGAAAGCUCUAUCAGCAGGGGAGAAAAUGACGGUACCUGACUAAGAAGCCCCGGCUAACUCCGUGCCAGCAGCCGCGGUAAUACGGGGGAUGCGAGCGUUAUCCGGAUUUAUGGGGUUUAAAGGGUGCGUAGGCGGGUUGCCAAGUCAGCGGGAAAAAUGCGGUGCUAACCGUCGUCGAGCCGUUGAAACUGGCGUUCUUGAGUGGGCGAGAAGUAUGCGGAAUGCGUGGUGUAGCGGUGAAAUGCAUAGAUAUCACGAAGAACUCCGAUUGCGAAGGCAGCAUACCGGCGCCCUACUGACGCUGAGGCACGAAAGCGUGGGUAUCGAACAGGAUUAGAUACCCUUGUAGUC
This 439-nucleotide ribosomal RNA is filed under the name uncultured bacterium. RNAcentral's name for it is "partial 16S ribosomal RNA". It matches the Rfam family "Bacterial small subunit ribosomal RNA", at positions 338 to 795 of the family's 1533-position model. The record is from RNAcentral.